Molecule: ribosomal RNA, 301 nt
Filed under: uncultured bacterium
Lineage: Bacteria
Description: partial 16S ribosomal RNA
Rfam family: Bacterial small subunit ribosomal RNA
Source: RNAcentral
CAGCAGCCGCGGUAAUACGGAGGGAGCUAGCGUUGUUAGGAAUUACUGGGCGUAAAGCGCGCGUAGGCGGUUACUCAAGUCAGAGGUGAAAGCCCGGGGCUCAACCCCGGAACUGCCUUUGAAACUAGGUGACUAGAAUCUUGGAGAGGUCAGUGGAAUUCCGAGUGUAGAGGUGAAAUUCGUAGAUAUUCGGAAGAACACCAGUGGCGAAGGCGACUGACUGGACAAGUAUUGACGCUGAGGUGCGAAAGCGUGGGGAGCAAACAGGAUUAGAUACCCCCGUAGUCCCUGUCUCUUAUAC